Molecule: ribosomal RNA, 253 nt
Filed under: uncultured bacterium
Lineage: Bacteria
Description: partial 16S ribosomal RNA
Rfam family: Bacterial small subunit ribosomal RNA
Source: RNAcentral
GACGUAGGGGGCGAGCGUUGUCCGGAGUUACUGGGCGUAAGGGGCCCGCAGGCGGGAGGGUGCGUUUGGUGUGACAGCUCGUGGCUUCACUACGAGAGGAUACCAAAGACGGCCGUUCUUGAGGGCCAGAGAGGGACCUGGAAGUCCGGGUGGAGCGGUGAAAUGCGUAGAGAUCCGGAGGAACACCGAAAGCGAAGGCAGGGUCCUGGCUGGUACCUGACGCUCGUGGGCGAAAGCUAGGGGAGCGAACGGG